UACGGGGGGGGUAAGCGUUGUUCGGAAUUACUGGGCGUAAAGGGCUCGUAGGCGGCCAACUAAGUCAGACGUGAAAUCCCUCGGCUUAACCGGGGAACUGCGUCUGAUACUGGAUGGCUUGAAUCCGGGAGAGGGGUGCGGAAUUCCAGGUGUAGCGGUGAAAUGCGUAGAUAUCUGGAGGAACACCGGUGGCGAAGGCGGCAUCCUGGACCGGCAUUGACGCUGAGGAGCGAAAGCCAGGGGAGCAAACGGG
RNAcentral lists this ribosomal RNA (253 nucleotides) under uncultured bacterium. RNAcentral's name for it is "partial 16S ribosomal RNA". It matches the Rfam family "Bacterial small subunit ribosomal RNA", at positions 524 to 776 of the family's 1533-position model. The record is from RNAcentral.